AUUGAACGCUGGCGGCAUGCGUUACACAUGCAAGUCGAACGGCAACACAUCUUCAGAUGCUGACUAGUGGCGACGGGUGGAGUACUACAUCGGAACGUGCCCGAACCUGCUGGUUAGCGAGGCGUAACCUAUGCUAAUACCCCAUACGACCUCCGAAUAACAACGGGGGAAAUCCGGACCUCGUGCGGCCUGGGCGGCCGAUGUCAGAUUAGGUAGUUGGUGGGAUAAAAGCGUACCAAGCCGACGAUCUGUAGCUGGUCUGAGAGGAUGAUCAGCCACACUGGGACUGAGACACGGCCCAGACUCCUACGGGAGGCAGCAGUGGGGAAUUUUGGACAAUGGGCGAAAGCCUGAUCCAGCCAUGCCGCGUGGAGGAAGAAGGCCUUCGGGUUGUAAAGUGCUUUUGUAGGGAAAGAAAAGCAGCUGGCUAAUACAGAGGGGUCAUGACGGUACCGAAAGAAUAAGCACCGGCUAACUACGUG
Molecule: ribosomal RNA, 482 nt
Filed under: uncultured bacterium
Lineage: Bacteria
Description: partial 16S ribosomal RNA
Rfam family: Bacterial small subunit ribosomal RNA
Source: RNAcentral